AACGCACCUUGCACUCUUUGGUAUUCCGAAGAGUAUGUCUGUUUGAGUGUCGUGAAAUUCUCAACCCCCCUAUUUUGUAAUGAGAUAGGUUUUGUGGGCUUGGAUUAUGGCUGCCUGUCGGUUCGUUACGUGUCGGCUCAGCUGAAAUACACGAGCAUCCCAGUUGAAACAGCGACGGCUUGACUCGGCGUAAUAACAUAUUUCGCUGAGGACGUCCACUGUACGUUUCAAGCAGUGGGGCUUCUAAUGCACAUCCAUCUUAAGCUUUAGACCUCAAAUCAGAUAGGACUACCCGCUGAACUUAA
Molecule: unclassified non-coding RNA, 305 nt
Filed under: Lachnellula sp.
Lineage: Eukaryota; Fungi; Ascomycota; Leotiomycetes; Helotiales; Lachnaceae
Description: partial contains 5.8S ribosomal RNA, internal transcribed spacer 2, and large subunit ribosomal RNA
Rfam family: 5.8S ribosomal RNA (bases 1-52)
Source: RNAcentral